RNAcentral lists this transfer RNA (89 nucleotides) under Novacetimonas maltaceti. It matches the Rfam family "tRNA". Rfam says of the family: Transfer RNA (tRNA) molecules are approximately 80 nucleotides in length. Their secondary structure includes four short double-helical elements and three loops (D, anti-codon, and T loops). Lineage: Bacteria; Pseudomonadati; Pseudomonadota; Alphaproteobacteria; Acetobacterales; Acetobacteraceae. RNAcentral also lists the same sequence under 1 other name. The record is from Rfam by way of RNAcentral.
GGAGGGGUGGCCGAGAGGCUGAAGGCGGCGGUUUGCUAAAUCGCUGAACGGGGUAACUCGUUCCGUGGGUUCGAAUCCCAUCCCCUCCG